RNAcentral lists this ribosomal RNA (370 nucleotides) under uncultured soil bacterium. Its description in RNAcentral is "bacterial SSU rRNA". It matches the Rfam family "Bacterial small subunit ribosomal RNA", at positions 26 to 408 of the family's 1533-position model. The record is from RNAcentral.
AGAUUGAACGCUGGCGGCAUGCCUUACACAUGCAAGUCGAACGGUAGAGUAGCAAUACUUGAGAGUGGCGAACGGGUGAGUAAUAUAUCGGAACGUGCCCGGUCGUGGGGGAUAACGUAGAGAAAUUUACGCUAAUACCGCAUACGAUCUAAGGAUGAAGGCGGGGGACUCGCAAGAGCCUCGCGCGAUUGGAGCGGCUGAUAUCAGAUUAGGUUGUUGGUGAGGUAAAAGCUCACCAAGCCGACGAUCUGUAGCUGGUUUGAGAGAACGACCAGCCACACUGGGACUGAGACACGGCCCAGACUCCUACGGGAGCAGCAGUGGGAUUUGGACAAUGGGGGAACCUGAUCCAGCCAUCCCGCGUGUGCGA